Molecule: non-coding RNA, 71 nt
Organism: Amniculicola lignicola CBS 123094
Lineage: Eukaryota; Fungi; Ascomycota; Dothideomycetes; Pleosporales; Amniculicolaceae
Source: the annotation of a GenBank genome assembly
GGUGGUGUGGUCUAGUGGUAUGACGUCGCGUUGUGGCCGCGCCAGCCCGUGUUCGAUUCACGGCACCGCCA